This 372-nucleotide ribosomal RNA is filed under the name uncultured bacterium. RNAcentral's name for it is "bacterial SSU rRNA". It matches the Rfam family "Bacterial small subunit ribosomal RNA", at positions 28 to 396 of the family's 1533-position model. The record is from RNAcentral.
GAUGAACGCUGGCGGCGUGCCUAAUACAUGCAAGUCGAGCGGAGAAUUUAGCAAUAGAUUCUUAGCGGCGAACGGGUGAGUAACGCGUUGGUGACCUGCCUCGAAGUUUGGGAUAACAGUUCGAAAGGACUGCUAAUACCGGAUGUGAUCGCGGAGAUUAGAGGCUCUGUGAUUAAAAGGAGAAAUUCGCUUCGAGAGGGGCCUGCGUCCAUCAGCUAGUUGGUAAGGUAAAGGCUUACCAAGGCGAUGACGGGUAGGGGACCUGAGAGGGUGGCCCCCACAAUGGAACGUGAAACAACGGUCCAUACACCUACGGGUGGCAGCAGUAGGGAAGUAUUGCAUAAUAGGGCGGAAAGACCUGAUGCAGCAACG